This 1289-nucleotide ribosomal RNA is filed under the name Microbacterium sp. LC409. RNAcentral describes it as "bacterial SSU rRNA". It matches the Rfam family "Bacterial small subunit ribosomal RNA", at positions 56 to 1356 of the family's 1533-position model. Lineage: Bacteria; Bacillati; Actinomycetota; Actinomycetes; Micrococcales; Microbacteriaceae. The record is from RNAcentral.
UGCAAGUCGAACGAUGAAGCCCAGCUUGCUGGGUGGAUUAGUGGCGAACGGGUGAGUAACACGUGAGCAACCUGCCCCUGACUCUGGGAUAAGCGCUGGAAACGGCGUCUAAUACUGGAUAUGUCCCGUCACCGCAUGGUGUGCGGGUGGAAAGAUUUUUCGGUUGGGGAUGGGCUCGCGGCCUAUCAGCUUGUUGGUGAGGUAAUGGCUCACCAAGGCGUCGACGGGUAGCCGGCCUGAGAGGGUGACCGGCCACACUGGGACUGAGACACGGCCCAGACUCCUACGGGAGGCAGCAGUGGGGAAUAUUGCACAAUGGGCGGAAGCCUGAUGCAGCAACGCCGCGUGAGGGAUGACGGCCUUCGGGUUGUAAACCUCUUUUAGCAGGGAAGAAGCGAGAGUGACGGUACCUGCAGAAAAAGCACCGGCUAACUACGUGCCAGCAGCCGCGGUAAUACGUAGGGUGCAAGCGUUAUCCGGAAUUAUUGGGCGUAAAGAGCUCGUAGGCGGUCUGUCGCGUCUGCUGUGAAAUCCCGAGGCUCAACCUCGGGCUUGCAGUGGGUACGGGCAGACUAGAGUGCGGUAGGGGAGAUUGGAAUUCCUGGUGUAGCGGUGGAAUGCGCAGAUAUCAGGAGGAACACCGAUGGCGAAGGCAGAUCUCUGGGCCGUAACUGACGCUGAGGAGCGAAAGGGUGGGGAGCAAACAGGCUUAGAUACCCUGGUAGUCCACCCCGUAAACGUUGGGAACUAGUUGUGGGGUCCUUUCCACGGAUUCCGUGACGCAGCUAACGCAUUAAGUUCCCCGCCUGGGGAGUACGGCCGCAAGGCUAAAACUCAAAGGAAUUGACGGGGACCCGCACAAGCGGCGGAGCAUGCGGAUUAAUUCGAUGCAACGCGAAGAACCUUACCAAGGCUUGACAUACACGAGAACGGGCCAGAAAUGGUCAACUCUUUGGACACUCGUGAACAGGUGGUGCAUGGUUGUCGUCAGCUCGUGUCGUGAGAUGUUGGGUUAAGUCCCGCAACGAGCGCAACCCUCGUUCUAUGUUGCCAGCACGUAAUGGUGGGAACUCAUGGGAUACUGCCGGGGUCAACUCGGAGGAAGGUGGGGAUGACGUCAAAUCAUCAUGCCCCUUAUGUCUUGGGCUUCACGCAUGCUACAAUGGCCGGUACAAUGGGCUGCGAUACCGUAAGGUGGAGCGAAUCCCAAAAAGCCGGUCCCAGUUCGGAUUGAGGUCUGCAACUCGACCUCAUGAAGUCGGAGUCGCUAGUAAUCGCAGAUCAGCAAC